UUAAAGUUGGGGAGAAAGCUCAAUACCAAAGACUUAAAAGGGGCGGAGUUUGGGAACCUAAGCCGACAGCAUGGGGUGGUGGCGUCGGAGCUCCGGAACUUGCGAUCUUACUCCGAUGGCGGCGCGAUUUCCACGAGGGUGAAGGACAGUCGAGAUGAAUGACAUAAGACAUGAUCCUCUGUUUCACGAUGAGUUCGCGACCUGGAGAGGGUGAAAACCUGAGAGAAAGAGAAGGCCGACGGCAACGAAGAUACCAAGGCGACAACUAGGCUGUGAUGAAGGUUGCACGAUCUGUUUUCACCAUGAAGCAAUUUCUGUUGCAGCAGCGGCGUGACGGCGAUGUGAGUGUUGACGACGGUGGCUUGGUGAGAUGAAGACGAUGACACUAUGCGAUGACAGUGCUAUCCAAGACUAUGCAAGGCCAACCGUUCCACAAUCUGUGUGCAAUCGACGCGCUUUCUAUUGGUGAAGGGGCGCGAUUCAAACGGGAGGAAGGCUUUGAAUUCCAACUCGGCAAGGAAGGUGGAAAAAUUCUUGGAAGAAAAAUUGAAAGAUUUGAAGUUUGGGUGUUGGGAAGUUAGGGCCUUCCUAUGAAGUAAUGCAAGAGAUUUUGUUGUAGAUACAUGAGCAACUUUAGUUUAAGCUUAUAUAUAUUGUAUAUUUCUUAUGGUGUGUUUUUAAUUUGGUUGCAUAUUAUGUAAGUUUCUUCUUUUAAAAAUGAUUAAAAUAAAAAUAUAUUCAUAUGGUUCCUUA
Molecule: long non-coding RNA, 753 nt
Organism: Vitis riparia (riverbank grape)
Lineage: Eukaryota; Viridiplantae; Streptophyta; Magnoliopsida; Vitales; Vitaceae
Exons: 2
Source: RefSeq, a predicted model, not a curated record